Molecule: ribosomal RNA, 467 nt
Filed under: uncultured bacterium
Lineage: Bacteria
Description: partial 16S ribosomal RNA
Rfam family: Bacterial small subunit ribosomal RNA
Source: RNAcentral
GACGAACGCUGGCGGCGUGCUUUACACAUGCAAGUCGAACGGAAAGGCCUCAGCUUGCUGGGGUUCUCGAGUGGCGAACGGGUGAGUAAUACGUGGGUGCUCUGCCUUGCACUGUGGGUAAAGCUUGGGAAACUGGGUCUAUAACCGGAUCUGAAUUGCCAUUAGUGUGGUGGUUGGACAGUUUUUUCGGUGCAAGAUGAGCUCGCGGCCGAUCAGCUUGUUGGUGGGGUAAUGGCCUACCAAGGCGACGACGGGUAGCCGGCCUGAGAGAGUGUGCGACCGCAUUGGGACUUAGAGGCGGCAGAGGCGCCGACGGGAGGCAGCAGGGGGGAAUAUUGCACAAGGGGCGGAAGCCGGAUGCAGAGACGCCUCGGGGUGUAUGACGGCCUUCGGGUGAUAAACACCUUUCGACAUAGACCAAGCGGUUUAUGACGGUACCUGUAUAAGAAGCACCGGCUAACUACGUG